UCUCUCUCUCUCUCUCUCUCGGCAGCUUCGUCCUCCAUAUCCACCCUCACACCAUCUUGCCCAACACAACACAUAAAACCCAGCCGCCACACCCCGUUCUCAGCCUUCAAAAUUAUCCUCGCCCUUCUCACAAUCACCCAAUUCUCACGGCUUCGCUGCUAGUCAUUGAUGUACGGUUGGGCUCGACUAUGCCAAUGUAAAGGAAGCUUGAGGGUGAGAUUCUUGAGUCGAGUCGUCUGUAAAUCUCUUGGAACCGAGUCCUUCGGCAUUGACAAGUUUCUCAAACUCAGACUGGUGAUUGACUCGGGGGCAAUAGAGGAAGAAGGCAAGGGCCGAGAGUGACAAUUCCUACAGAAGCUGUGAUGCCAGGAGGGUCGGAACGGUGACAUUUGACAGUGGCGGAGGGGAUUGGGGCUGAUCUGGGGUCGACCUAGAUGGCAAUUCACGUAAGAAAGGUUGGUCGGUUGGACACUCGAGACGUUUGGCGGUGGAGGUGAUGGAAUCGGUGGCUACUCAGUCUUACUUUCAUGGUUAAGAAGAGGGUUGAGAGAUGCUGAUGAUGAUGAGGAGCUCUCAAUUUCAUGGUCAAUUUGAAUGAGAGAGUGUUGGUUUUUUGUUUUACUUUUGUUUCAGAAAAGUCCAUUCAUCUUCUUCAUCUUCUUUUGCUACUGGGUUUUUUUGUUGGGUUUGAGAAUUUGUUUUUGUGUUGUUUUGGUUGGAUUAGAAAGACAGAAAUUGGAAUAGGAGAAAGGAGAAAAGGGUGGCUGGGCUUGGAGUUAGUGGUGUACAGAGAGAGAAUGGUGGGUGUGUUGAGAAGUUUUUCGUGCGAGAGGUGGUUGGGCAAGAUGGUGUGUGGGUGGGUAUAGAGGA
RNAcentral lists this long non-coding RNA (870 nucleotides) under Prunus dulcis (almond). RNAcentral describes it as "sRNA ncRNA". The record is from RNAcentral. Lineage: Eukaryota; Viridiplantae; Streptophyta; Magnoliopsida; Rosales; Rosaceae.